RNAcentral lists this ribosomal RNA (497 nucleotides) under uncultured bacterium. Its description in RNAcentral is "partial 16S ribosomal RNA". It matches the Rfam family "Bacterial small subunit ribosomal RNA", at positions 34 to 507 of the family's 1533-position model. The record is from RNAcentral.
UCUGCCCGCUGGCGGCGUGCCUAAUACAUGCAAGUCGAGCGAACGGACGAGAAGCUUGCUUCUCUGAUGUUAGCGGCGGACGGGUGAGUAACACGUGGAUAACCUACCUAUAAGACUGGGAUAACUUCGGGAAACCGUAGCUAAUACCGGAUAAUAUUUUGAACCGCAUGGUUCAAAAGUGAAAGACGGUCUUGCUGUCACUUAUAGAUGGAUCCGCGCUGCAUUAGCUAGUUGGUAAGGUAACGGCUUACCAAGGCAACGAUGCAUAGCCGACCUGAGAGGGUGAUCGGCCACACUGGAACUGAGACACGGUCCAGACUCCUACGGGAGGCAGCAGUAGGGAAUCUUCCGCAAUGGGCGAAAGCCUGACGGAGCAACGCCGCGUGAGUGAUGAAGGUCUUCGGAUCGUAAAACUCUGUUAUUAGGGAAGAACAUAUGUGUAAGUAACUGUGCACAUCUUGGCGGUACCUAAUCAGAAAGCCACGGCUAACUACGUG